This 210-nucleotide long non-coding RNA is filed under the name Elaeis guineensis (African oil palm). RNAcentral's name for it is "long non-coding RNA (EGUI_LNC068209)". The record is from RNAcentral. Lineage: Eukaryota; Viridiplantae; Streptophyta; Magnoliopsida; Arecales; Arecaceae.
CGUACAUGUGGGGUGAUCAAACUUCGCAUGAAAGGAUGCGAGAUCACAUCUCUUCAUGGAUUUUUUGAUCUCUUAUUAGGUGAUUUGAGAUUAGGAUUAAAUCCCCUAUCCACAUGGGUUUUUAUGGAUUUUUUUGAUUUGAGAAGGGAUGCAAAAACAUCCCUUCUCUGGUUGCGCACAUAGAUGAGGGUGCUGAUCGACAUAUCAUUG